AUGAACGCUAGCGACAGGCCUAACACAUGCAAGUCAGGGGCAGCACAAGGAGCAAUCUGAGGUGGCGACCGGCGCACGGGUGAGUAACACGUAUGCAACCUGCCUGUAAGCGGGGAAUAACCCGUUGAAAGACGGACUAAUACCGCAUAAUACUAAAUUACUGCAUGGUAAUUUAUUUAAACAUUUAUGGCUUACAGAUGGGCAUGCGCAUGAUUAGCUAGUUGGAGAGGUAACGGCUCCCCAAGGCAACGAUCAUUAGGGGUUCUGAGAGGAAGGUCCCCCACACUGGUACUGAGACACGGACCAGACUCCUACGGGAGGCAGCAGUGAGGAAUAUUGGUCAAUGGACGAGAGUCUGAACCAGCCAAGUCGCGUGCAGGAAGAAUUGUCCUAUGGAUUGUAAACUGCUUUUGCAGGGGAAUAAAGUGCAUCACGUGUGAUGUUUUGUAUGUACUCUGCGAAUAAGGAUCGGCUAACUCCGUGCCAGCCGCCGC
Molecule: ribosomal RNA, 494 nt
Filed under: uncultured bacterium
Lineage: Bacteria
Description: bacterial SSU rRNA
Rfam family: Bacterial small subunit ribosomal RNA
Source: RNAcentral